GGGGCCGUAGCUCAGUUGGGAGAGCGCGACGUUCGCAAUGUCGAGGUCAGGGGUUCGACUCCCCUCGGCUCCACCA
Molecule: transfer RNA, 76 nt
Filed under: Alphaproteobacteria bacterium
Lineage: Bacteria; Pseudomonadati; Pseudomonadota; Alphaproteobacteria
Also listed under: 3 other names
Description: tRNA-Ala
Rfam family: tRNA
About the family: Transfer RNA (tRNA) molecules are approximately 80 nucleotides in length. Their secondary structure includes four short double-helical elements and three loops (D, anti-codon, and T loops).
Source: RNAcentral